GACGAACGCUGGCGGCGCGCUUAACACAUGCAAGUCGAACGGGGUUAGUUAAUGGAAGUCUUCGGAUGGAGAUUAAUUGACCUAGUGGCGAACGGGUGAGUAACGCGUGAGCAACCGGUCCUAAAGAGGGGGACAACUUUGAGAAAUCAAGGCUAAUACCGCGUAAGACCACACUGCGGCAUCGCAGAGGGGUCAAAGGAGAAAUCCGCUUUAGGGAGGGCUCGCGUCUGAUUAGGUAGUUGGUGAGGUAACGGCUCACCAAGCCGACGAUCAGUAGCCGGACUGAGAGGUUGAACGGCCACAUUGGAACUGAGAUACGGUCCAGACUCCUACGGGAGGCAGCAGUGGGGAAUAUUGGGCAAUGGGCGCAAGCCUGACCCAGCAACGCCGUGUGAAGGAAGAAGGUCUUCGGAUUGUAAACUUUUGUCUUAUGGGACGAUAAUGACGGUACCAUAGGAGGAAGUCACGACUAACUACGUG
RNAcentral lists this ribosomal RNA (480 nucleotides) under uncultured bacterium. RNAcentral's name for it is "bacterial SSU rRNA". It matches the Rfam family "Bacterial small subunit ribosomal RNA", at positions 28 to 507 of the family's 1533-position model. The record is from RNAcentral.